GAUGAAGAACGCAGCGAAAUGCGAUACGUAAUGUGAAUUGCAGAAUCCAGUGAAUCAUCGAAUCUUUGAACGCACAUUGCGCCCGCUGGUAUUCCGGCGGGCAUGCCUGUUCGAGCGUCAUUUCAACCCUCAAGCCCCCGGGUUUGGUGUUGGGGAUCGGCUCUGCCCUUCUGGGCGGUGCCGCCCCCGAAAUACAUUGGCGGUCUCGCUGCAGCCUCCAUUGCGUAGUAGCUAACACCUCGCAACUGGAACGCGGCGCGGCCAUGCCGUAAAACCCCAACUUCUGAAUGUUGACCUCGGAUCAGGUAGGAAUACCCGCUGAACUUAAGCAUAUCAAUAAGCGGAGGA
RNAcentral lists this unclassified non-coding RNA (348 nucleotides) under soil metagenome. Its description in RNAcentral is "partial contains 5.8S ribosomal RNA, internal transcribed spacer 2, and large subunit ribosomal RNA". The stretch from base 1 to 120 matches the Rfam family "5.8S ribosomal RNA", at positions 35 to 154 of the family's 154-position model. The record is from RNAcentral.